Gasterosteus aculeatus aculeatus (three-spined stickleback) is the source of this 1177-nucleotide long non-coding RNA. The record is from Ensembl. Lineage: Eukaryota; Metazoa; Chordata; Actinopteri; Perciformes; Gasterosteidae.
UCUGACGUGGUUUUCCCGUGUGACGUGGUUUCCUGUGUGACGUGGUUUCUGUGUGACGUGGUUUCGUCUGACGUGGUUUCCCGUGUGACGUGGUUUCCUGUGUGACGUGGUUUCCGUGUGACGUGGUUUCCUGUGCGUGGUUUCUGUGUGACGUGGUUUCCCGUGACGUGGUUUCCGUCUAACCUGGUUUCCUGUGUGUGACGUGGUUUCCUGGUGUGUGACGUGGUUUCCCGUGACGUGGUUUCCUGUGUGUGACGUGGUUUCCCGUGACGUGGGUUUCCUGUGUGUGACGUGGUUUCCUGUGUGUGAACGUGGUUUCCGUGACGUGGUUUCCUGUGUGUGACGUGGUUUCCUGUGUGUGACGUGGUUUCCUGUGACGUGGUUUCCUGUGACGUGGUUUCCUGUCUGACGUGGUUUCUGUGACGUGGUUUCCUGUGACGUGGUUUCCUGUCUGACGUGGUUUCCUGUGACGUGUUUCCUGUGUGUGACGUGGUUUCCUGUGACGUGGUUUCCUGUCUGACGUGGUUUCUGUGACGUGGUUUCCUGUGACGUGGUUCCCGUGUGACGUGGUUUCCUGUGACGUGGUUUCCUGUGAACGUGGUUUCCUGUCUGACGUGGUUCCCGUGUGACGUGGUUUCCUGUGACGUGGUUUCCUGUCUGACGUGGUUUCCUGUGACGUGGUUUCCUGUGUGUGACGUGGUUUCCUGUGACGUGGUUCCCUGUGACGUGGUUUCCUGUGACGUGGUUUCCCGUCUAACCUGGUUUCCUGUGUGUGACGUGGUUUCCUGUGACGUGGUUUCCUGUGUGACGUGGUUUCCUGUGAUGUGGUUUCCCGUGUGACGUGGUUUCCUGUGCGUGGUUUCUGCGUGACGUGGUUUCCUGUCUGACGUGGUUUCCCGUGUGACGUGGUUUCCUGUGAUGUGGUUUCCGUGUGACGUGGUUUCCCGUGACGUGGUUUCCUGUGACGUGGUUUCCCGUCUAACCUGGUUUCCUGUGUGUGACGUGGUUUCCCGUGACGUGGUUUCCUGUCUGACGUGGUUUCCUGUGUGACGUGGUUUCCCGUGUGACGUGGUUUCCUGUGCGUGGUUUCUGUGUGACGUGGUUUCCUGUCUGACGUGGUUUCCCGUGUGACGUGCAUUCCUGUGAUGUGGUAUCCCGUGUGACGUGGGUUCCCGUG